CCCUUAGAUGUCCGGGGCCGCACGCGCGCUACACUGUAGAUCGCAGCGAGUGUAGUUUCUGUCCCUCCCGUAGCCGGGUGGGUAAACCAUUGAAAGAUCGAACGUGGCUUGGGAUCGGGCCUUGAAAUUAUUGCCCGUGAACGAGGAAUUCCCAGUAAGCGCGAGUCAUAAGCUGGCGUUGAUUACGUCCCUGCCCUUUGUACACACCGCCCGUCGCUGCCCGGAACUGAGCCGUUUCGAGAAGACUGAGGCUUGCUGACUUGAGGCCUUCACGGGCUUCUAGUCGGUGAAAAUCAAUUUAAUCGCAGCGGCUUGAACCGGGCAAAAGUCGUAACA
RNAcentral lists this ribosomal RNA (336 nucleotides) under uncultured eukaryote. RNAcentral's name for it is "partial 18S ribosomal RNA". It matches the Rfam family "Eukaryotic small subunit ribosomal RNA", at positions 1470 to 1796 of the family's 1831-position model. The record is from RNAcentral.